RNAcentral lists this long non-coding RNA (1966 nucleotides) under Gossypium barbadense (sea-island cotton). RNAcentral's name for it is "long non-coding RNA (GBAR_LNC004259)". The record is from RNAcentral. Lineage: Eukaryota; Viridiplantae; Streptophyta; Magnoliopsida; Malvales; Malvaceae.
GAAAAUGAAAACAGAAAAUAAAUGAAUCAGUCUUUACAAUUGCCAAUACAAAUGAAACCAAUUAAGCAAAAGAAAAAAGAAAAUGAAAAGCCAAUCCCCCGAGCCCCCUUUCUUGUUGCAUUAGUUGCUACUAAGACUCUUCCUCUGAAUCGUCUUCAGCAAAUAACCUUUCAAUCCUGAGCCUCUAGUUAUUUCACGAGUUCAUCGAAUCACGUUCUCCUUUCCUGAUCCGGACUCAUCAUGAACGCCUCAUCUGCCAUUGUUGCUAUUUCUGUCCCUAUUUACCAGAUCCUCCAUCUCGCUAGGAACCUCUUCCAUCCAGUACUGUGGGUCAUCGAAUUUCCAGCCCUCCUUUGCCAGUCCGUGCACUACUCUGUUAGCCUCUCUCUGUAUGUGCAAAAACUUUAUGCUUCUAAAACUGCCUGCUUUUCUUUUUAUUUCUUGGAUAUAACCCCGGAUAUAAGAUCUGUCCUCUAAUUCUAGGUUUAUUUUCCGAAUAACUGUCAACGCGUCACUCUCAACAUCUACAUCUUGAAAUCCCAGUUCCUCUGCCAUGUUGACUGCCUGUAAACACGCUCUAGCCUCGGCCGUAGUCGGAUCCGUCAUAUUCACCCCUGGGUAAGUGCACGAAGCCAUAACCUCUCCAUUAUUGUUUCUCGCGAUGAUUCCAGAAACUGAUUUGUGUUGACUCUUGUUGAAAGCUGCAUCAAAAUUGAUUUUUAUUCUGUCUCCUCUGGGUGGCUGCUAUGUUUUAUUGCAAAUCUCAUUUCUGCUUUUCAACACUUCACUCAUGUGUACAAUUUCGGCAUAAUAUGCAUUAAUAAAUCCCACGGUUUCAUGCACUUGAGCCCUACAUCCCUCUUGACACACUUUGUUUCUGUUAUGCCAAAUAGCCCAUAAAAGAAUAGUUCUUUUUGUGCACUCCUCUUAGGUAAGAUGUUUAAAUACCGACGCUAACCAAAAGUUCCAAUAUGUUUCCCUGUUGCAUGUUGAGGAACUACAUCCCAGCUUCCCUGAGACUUGUCGAGUAAAAAAACAAUCCCGGAAGAUAUGGCUCACUGUCUCCUCCUCUCUUUUGCACACUGGGCACAACGUGUUAUUCACCAGUUUGCGGAUUCUCAGAUUAUACAGAACCGACACAUACUCCUUGGCCACUCUCCACAAGUGGACUCUGGUCUUACUUGGCACCUUAAUGACCUAAAGUCUUUUGUAAAACUUAGCCAGAGGAUUUUGCUGUAUAUUGGAAACUUCUAUUGUAUUGCUCCAUUUGUAUCCAUUUUUUGCUGUAUAUACCCUUGUAUUAUCCCCCCUCCAAACUAAGGCAUCUUGUGACUCGUUGUUCGCCAGUGGAAUUGCGAUAAUUCUCUGCGCUUGUUCUUCCCCAAAUAAAGAUUGGAUUUCCUCUUGUGUCCAGGUAGCAGAAUCUCUAUCAAUUAAAUCUGACACCUUAUAAUACCUUAUAUCGAUUUGCUAACAUCGAACUCUGCCAUUUCCAGCUCCCGGGAUCCAUGCAUCAUUCCAUAUAUUGACACCCUGGCCAUUCCCAAUUCUCCAGCCAAUUCUCUCUUCCAGUAGUCAUUGGGCUCCCCAGAUGCUACGCUAGGUAAACGAAGGGUAAGAACCUAUUCUUGCACUCAGAAACUCCCCUUGCGGGAAGUACUUUGCUUUCAUUACUCAUGCAAAUAAACAAUCUGGUUGCGUAAUGAUCUUCCAUCCCUGCUUCGCUAAAAGGGCCGUAUUAAACAUAGACAGGUUUUUAAAACCCAACCCACCUUUCGAUUUAGGAAUGCAUAUAUCACUCCACUUACACCAAUGAAUACCUCUAUUAUUCUUAGAGUUGCGCCACCAAAAUUUACUUAUAAUAUUUUCAAGAUCUUGCAAAAUGAAACCGGUAAUUUAAAGCAUUGCAUCGCAUAUAUUGGAAUAGCUUGUAAAAUGGAUUUGAUAAAUACCUCCUUUCCUUCAG